UGAAGAGGUCAGUUGGAGUCUUGUUUGCUCCUGGAUAUUCAGACACGGCUCAGUUAAUGUGGAACUCAGAUGGACAGCAAAACUGAUGAAGGUGCUGGAUAAUCACAAUGUUGGGACAGAGAUGCCGGCUUGCUGUAUCUGCAGGAGGGGGAUAAGCUGAGCCAGAGGAGCAGAGGUCAGGGCAGCAGAGAAAGGCGAUUAUGCAGAGCAGCACUAAUAAGGUCGCUGAACUGAUAUGAAGACUUCAGAGCUCUGUCAUGCCUCAUGGCUGGGAGGGAAGGAAUGCUAUGUUUAUUUAGAUGUUAAAAAAUAGAAACAAUCUUAGGUCCUCUCCAACAUCAGUUUACAUUGCUAGCAGGUGCAGACACCACAGUACAUAAAGUGCCGUUUUAUGCAUCCAUUUCAAUACGAGCUGCU
Molecule: long non-coding RNA, 417 nt
Organism: Engraulis encrasicolus (European anchovy)
Lineage: Eukaryota; Metazoa; Chordata; Actinopteri; Clupeiformes; Engraulidae
Exons: 3
Source: RefSeq, a predicted model, not a curated record